This 253-nucleotide ribosomal RNA is filed under the name uncultured bacterium. RNAcentral's name for it is "partial 16S ribosomal RNA". It matches the Rfam family "Bacterial small subunit ribosomal RNA", at positions 524 to 776 of the family's 1533-position model. The record is from RNAcentral.
UACAGAGGUCUCAAGCGUUGUUCGGAUUUACUGGGCGUAAAGGGCGCGUAGGCGGACAGUUUAGUCAGAGGUGAAAGCCCAGGGCUCAACCUUGGAAUUGCCUUUGAUACUGGCUGUCUUGAGUACGGGAGAGGUGAGUGGAACUCCGAGUGUAGAGGUGAAAUUCGUAGAUAUUCGGAAGAACACCAGUGGCGAAGGCGGCGACCUGGGUAGAUACUGACGCUGAGGUGCGAAAGCGUGGGGAGCGAACAGG